GACACAGUGGCGCAGUUGGUAGCGCUGUUGCCUUACAGCAAGAAGGUCACUGGUUCGAGCUCCAGCUGGGUCA
Molecule: transfer RNA, 73 nt
Filed under: Danio rerio (zebrafish)
Lineage: Eukaryota; Metazoa; Chordata; Actinopteri; Cypriniformes; Danionidae
Rfam family: tRNA
About the family: Transfer RNA (tRNA) molecules are approximately 80 nucleotides in length.
Source: Rfam by way of RNAcentral